RNAcentral lists this ribosomal RNA (473 nucleotides) under uncultured bacterium. RNAcentral describes it as "bacterial SSU rRNA". It matches the Rfam family "Bacterial small subunit ribosomal RNA", at positions 355 to 825 of the family's 1533-position model. The record is from RNAcentral.
UGGGGAAUAUUGCGCAAUGGGGGAAACCCUGACGCAGCAACGCCGCGUGAGUGACGAAGGCCUUCGGGUCGUAAAGCUCUGUCGGAGGGGAAGAAACUACCAAUGGCUAACAUCCAUAGGUAUUGACGGUACCCUCAAAGGAAGCACCGGCUAACUCCGUGCCAGCAGCCGCGGUAAUACGGAGGGUGCAAGCGUUGUUCGGAAUUACUGGGCGUAAAGCGCGUGUAGGCGGCUAAUUAUGUCAGGUGUGAAAGCCCUCGGCCUAACCGAGGAAGUGCGCCUGAAACUGAUUAGCUUGAGUACGAGAGAGGAGGACGGAAUUCCCAGUGUAGAGGUGAAAUUCGUAGAUAUCUGGAGGAACACCAGUGGCGAAGGCGGCUUCCUGGACCAACACUGACGCUCAGGUGCGAAAGCGUGGGUAGCAAACAGGAUUAGAUACCCAUGUAGUCCCUGAGCGGGCUGGCAAGGCGCAU